GACGAACGCUGGCGGCGUGCUUAACACAUGCAAGUCGAACGGUGAAGCCCUUCGGGGUGGAUCAGUGGCGAACGGGUGAGUAACACGUGGGCAAUCUGCCCUGCACUCUGGGACAAGCCCUGGAAACGGGGUCUAAUACCGGAUAUGACCUGCUCCUGCAUGGGGUGGGUGUAAAGCUCCGGCGGUGCAGGAUGGGCCCGCGGCCUAUCAGCUUGUUGGUGGGGUAAUGGCCUACCAA
Molecule: ribosomal RNA, 238 nt
Filed under: uncultured bacterium
Lineage: Bacteria
Description: partial 16S ribosomal RNA
Rfam family: Bacterial small subunit ribosomal RNA
Source: RNAcentral